CUUUGAUAUCUAAUUUGUCAUGGUAUCAUGAGCCUAGGUUUAGGUCAAUAAAUUUUACUGGUACGAUUUCAAAGAGAAAGUUUGGAUUUAUUACUGGUACGAUUGCAGAACCAAUAGACGACAAGGACAGGCUGGCGGACUGGAUAGCUGUUCAUUCAAUGUUGGUAUCCUGGAUAACUGGAACUCUUGAAGAAUCCUUGCGUACAACAGUUGGGGACUUCGAUGAUGCUGGAGCGUUGUGGCAGCAUCUCAAGACACGGUUCUGUGUUGUUAGCGGGACUCGCCUAUGCAAGGAACUCGUGAGUGAUCCGUAGCAGGAUCAAAUUUAUCUUUGUGUGAGUUAUUAUUUAAUCAAGUUUUCAGGAACUUGAUGUGAUGAUGUGACAUUCUUGCAUACGGGAUUAAUGGAGAGUUCACUAGUUAGGAUUUAUUUUUUUCUAAGUUGGUUUCAUUUGUGAGUUCAGAUUUUAGUAUUUUAAUUUCAAGGGUUUAUCGAAUAUACACUAUUAUUAUUUCGAUUAUUAUUAUUCAAUAAAGAAAAGUAUUUUAGUUA
This is a long non-coding RNA of Spinacia oleracea (spinach), 553 nucleotides long. RefSeq lists it as uncharacterized. NCBI's taxonomy places the organism in Eukaryota, Viridiplantae, Streptophyta, Magnoliopsida, Caryophyllales, Amaranthaceae. The transcript has 3 exons. The record is from RefSeq and is a predicted model, not a curated record.